ACGGGUGAGUAACACGUGGGUAACCUGCCCUUGAGAGGGGGAUAACAGGUCGAAAGGCCUGCCUAAUACCGCAUAAUGAUAAGAAGCUGCAUGGCGUCUUAGCCCAAAGGUUAAUUCCGCUCAAGGAUGGGCCCGCGGCCCCAUUAGCUAGUUGGUGAGGUAAUGGCUCACCAAGACGACGAUGGGUAGCCGGCCUGAGAGGGUGGUCGGCCACACUGGGACUGAGACACGGCCCAGAACUCCCUACGGGAGGCAGCAGUGGGGAAUAUUUGCGCAAUGGGGGAAAACCCUGACGCAGCGACGCCGCGUGAGCGAUGAAGGCCCUUUCGGGUUUGUAAAAGCUCUGUCUUCCCCUGACGAUAAUGACGGUAAGGGAGGAGGGAAAGCCCACGGCUAACUACGUGCCAGCAGCCGCGGUAAUACGUAGGUGGCGAGCGUUGUCCGGAAUUACUGGGCGUAAAGGGUGCGUAGGCGGCUCUUUAAGUGGGAUGUGAAAUCCCUGGGCUCAACCCAGGAACUGCAUUCCAAACUGGAGAGCUAGAGUGCAGGAGAGGAAAGCGGAAACUCCCAGUGUAGCGGUGAAAUGCGUAGAGAUUGGGAGGAUCACCUGUGGCGAAGGCGGCUUCUGGACUUUAACUGACGCUGAGGCACGAAAGCGUGGGGAGCAAACAGGAUUAGAUACCCUGGUAGUCCACGCUGUAAACGAUGGGUACUAGGUGUAGGGGGCGAAGCCCUCUGUGCCGCAGCUAACGCAUUAAGUACCCCGCCUGGGGAGUACGGUCGCAAGAUU
Molecule: ribosomal RNA, 790 nt
Filed under: uncultured bacterium
Lineage: Bacteria
Description: bacterial SSU rRNA
Rfam family: Bacterial small subunit ribosomal RNA
Source: RNAcentral